Molecule: transfer RNA, 93 nt
Filed under: Poecilia reticulata (guppy)
Lineage: Eukaryota; Metazoa; Chordata; Actinopteri; Cyprinodontiformes; Poeciliidae
Also listed under: 2 other names
Rfam family: tRNA
About the family: Transfer RNA (tRNA) molecules are approximately 80 nucleotides in length.
Source: Rfam by way of RNAcentral
GCUCCAGUGGCGCAAUCGGUUAGCGCGCGGUACUUAUAAGACAGUACACUUUGAGCAAUGCCGAGGUUGUGAGUUCAAGCCUCACCUGGAGCA